RNAcentral lists this ribosomal RNA (228 nucleotides) under uncultured bacterium. Its description in RNAcentral is "partial 16S ribosomal RNA". It matches the Rfam family "Bacterial small subunit ribosomal RNA", at positions 103 to 334 of the family's 1533-position model. The record is from RNAcentral.
CCGGGUGAGUAAUACAUCGGAACGUGUCUUCUAGUGGGGGAUAACUGCCCAAAGGGCAGCUAAUACCGCAUGAGACCUGAGGGUGAAAGCGGGGGAUCGCAAGACCUCGCGCUGGUAGAGCGGCCGAUGUCCGAUUAGCUAGUUGGUGAGGUAAAGGCUCACCAAGGCGACGAUCGGUAGCUGGUCUGAGAGGACGACCAGCCACACUGGGACUGAGACACGGCCCAG